RNAcentral lists this ribosomal RNA (425 nucleotides) under uncultured bacterium. RNAcentral describes it as "bacterial SSU rRNA". It matches the Rfam family "Bacterial small subunit ribosomal RNA", at positions 356 to 773 of the family's 1533-position model. The record is from RNAcentral.
GGGGAAUAUUGGACAAUGGGCGAAAGCCUGAUCCAGCAAUGCCGCGUGUGUGAAGAAGGCCUGCGGGUUGUAAAGCACUUUCAGCAGGGAAGAACAGCGCAGGGCUAAUAUCCCUGUGUCCUGACGUCACCUGAAGAAGAAGCACCGGCUAACUCCGUGCCAGCAGCCGCGGUAAUACGGAGGGUGCGAGCGUUAAUCGGAAUUACUGGGCGUAAAGCGCACGUAGGUGGCUUGGUAAGUCGGAUGUGAAAGCCCUGGGCUCAACCUGGGAACUGCACCCGAAACUGCCUGGCUAGAGUAAGGGAGAGGGAAGCGGAAUUUCCGGUGUAGCGGUGAAAUGCGUAGAUAUCGGAAGGAACACCAGUGGCGAAGGCGGCUUCCUGGCCCAUUACUGAUACUGAGGUGCGGAAGCGUGGGGAGCAAAC